CAGGCGCCGGCGCCCGCCGCGCCGCCGUUGAUGUGGCCGUGGUGGCGCUCCUCCGAGAGAGUGACUGUUUCUCAAAAAAUCUCUUUGACAGCUUUCUUCGUCCGCCCAUGCUAAACUGAGAAGAGAAAGUGCUGCGGGUGAAGUAGCAAACUUUGAGACUCAAACCUCGAUGCUCAUUUCUGUGCUUUGUGAGCAACGUGAGCGUGUAGCCUGUCUUCUGUUGUAGCCUUGAAGGUCCUGUAGUUGAACUCGAUAAGUCCGUGUUUUUGAGACUGUGUUGUGAAAAGUAACAGCAAAGUAACUAGUUCUGUUACAAAAAUUGAGAUCUACGACCGUGCUGUGGGAAGCUGAACAGUCUACUUGGAGUAUGGCGGGAAAUUCUAAAAUGUCCACUAACCCUUUGAAUAAUAUUCCUCACCCGAAUGCACUAUUGACGUGGGGCACGACUGCCUGCCUGCUGGUCGUAAUGCUAGUCCUUGGCCUGCUGGUGUACUUGCCGCUCAGAAAGCGCCGUGCCAACAGUGGUCGUGCGGCCGCCAUACAACGGCGCUCGGUUGACAUUCAGAUACGGGAUGCCGAUCCUUAUGUCAACGGCGGUCGUGCCUCCGCAGGGAGCUCCCCACCCGCACCGCACCGUCAUCGGCUACCUCGUGUCGGUGCGCACGGAGCAUACACGCCACUGCGGUCCGACACCGAUGCCGGCUACUCACCGGCGCGUCAGUACAUGGGCAGUGAGGAGAAUGCACUGCGCUUGCAGCGCGCGGCCGACUUAACCAACGUGAUGAACACAGCCGACGCUUGAGUAUGUGAUAGUGCGCCGCUGUUACUUUACUGCUCCUCAACUUGAUGGUGAGCCUCUGGUCAAGCACUGCCACAGAAGGUGUGCUUCGAUUGGCUUGUGAGUUGCAAAUGAAUGAUGUCAUCAUGAUGGAGCAUCUCAAUGAUGAUGUCGUUAUGAGGCAUCAUGAGAUCUGAUGACAUCAGCUAUGGCACCCUGACCUAUGAUUUCUAGCUACUGAGUACUGUGCAAUAGGAAUGUGCUGUCCUAGCCGUUGGCAAGUGUGCGUGGCAUAACAGCUUGGAUGUUUAUGCACCCAAUCUAUCAUGACUCGUUGCUGGACUUUUGUCAGCUAUUUCACCGCAGUAGUGAGUCGUCGGCACGUGAACAAGCAGUUUGGGAAUGGGCAAAGCUGCUUUGGCAUCAUAAUGGUUCCCGGAACCCUUACAUACUGUUGACAAGCAUGCCGUGUUGGAGCUUUAUCACGGUUUAUCUAAUGUGCCCGCACACACAUCUUGCCUUGCGACUGCUUGCUGUGCUGGCUGUAUGAUGCAUGGAUGCUGAGGACGGUCCAGUUUUCGGCAGGAUGCUUGAAAAUCCACUUCCAUGCCCUGUCCACACGCCAUGUCCACACGCCAUGUCCACACGCCGUGUCCGAGUGCUGUCAGUGCACUGUACGUGUACUAGCAGCGCAGGUACCAACUUACAUGAUGAAUAAAUCCCAGAUUUGGACAGCCUGGAACUUCUCUGUUUUAAAUCCCAGAAUAUUAUUCUCUUCUUUUUUAUUCGUACCUGUGUCUCGAGAACGCUCGCUUUUCAUGCCAUUCUGACGCCAUGCUUUGCUGCUAAUAUGUUUUAUAUCAUGUUUUCAUUUUUUUUAUCAUUGGGAAUUUUUUUUAUCUGUACUAAUGUACUAUAACAUA
Molecule: long non-coding RNA, 1701 nt
Organism: Sycon ciliatum
Lineage: Eukaryota; Metazoa; Porifera; Calcarea; Leucosolenida; Sycettidae
Exons: 2
Source: RefSeq, a predicted model, not a curated record